Molecule: ribosomal RNA, 226 nt
Filed under: uncultured bacterium
Lineage: Bacteria
Description: partial 16S ribosomal RNA
Rfam family: Bacterial small subunit ribosomal RNA
Source: RNAcentral
AACGUGGGUAACCUGCCCAUCAGAGGGGGAUAACAUUCGGAAACGGAUGCUAAAACCGCAUAGGUCUUCGAACCGCAUGGUUUGAAGAGGAAAGAGGCGCAAGCUUCUGCUGAUGGAUGGACCCGCGGUGCAUUAGCUAGUUGGUGAGGUAACGGCUCACCAAGGCCGUGAUGCAUAGCCGACCUGAGAGGGUGAUCGGCCACAUUGGGACUGAGACACGGCCCAA